Aquila chrysaetos chrysaetos is the source of this 937-nucleotide long non-coding RNA. RefSeq lists it as uncharacterized. The record is from RefSeq and is a predicted model, not a curated record. NCBI's taxonomy places the organism in Eukaryota, Metazoa, Chordata, Aves, Accipitriformes, Accipitridae. The transcript is spliced from 4 exons.
UAUCCUGCCUGGUAGUCUGAUACUUCUGCUGUAUAAACCUGAUGUCAUCAAAGCUGGUGGAUCCAGAGAUGAACCAAAGCUCCUGAGCCUGCCUGCCCUCUUGUCCCACUGCACGUGAGGCCCCCGAGCUGCCCGUGCUCUUGCUGUGCAAUGGAGAAAGGCUGCAGUGAAAAGGGAGGAAGCAGCAAGACUGGACUGUUUAAGCUCUCACAAACACCUCUUAUGACAGUGACAUGUGCCAUACCCUGUGUCCAAGGAGGAGAAAAGAAUCUUCCUGAGUCUCUUCCAGGGUCUGAGCUCCUGUGAGUGUUCGUCUCAGCUCUGUUCUACUCCGUGAAGCUCUGCUCCUCCCCUGCCACUUCAGAGUCAAGCCCCCUCCCCAAAAUCUGGGCUGUUUGGCAUUUAUUUCUGCAGCCGAAGAGAGCUCCUUUAGCAGUGGAAUCUGUCCAAGAGGCAAUGGGAAUGGUGCUGCCCUUAUGAAUUCAAUGGGAUCAGGCCCUAAUAGAUUUCAAUGAGGUCAUCUUGCUCAGCGUGAAUCAGGAAGCACUUCACAAUCCAGUGUAUCGGCAAGAGCUUGUGACGUUCUUCUCCCAGAGCUCCUCUGAUGAGUGGAGCAAUGCAGACAGUUUGUGCUAAUGCUGUAGCAACAGAACAAGAGAAUGAUGACCUGAUGGAAUCCUUUAAGAACUGUAUGGCUAUAGAAGAUGAUGGUCCCUGUCCAAGAGAAUUUUAUAGCCUUAAGGUAAGUUUCAUCACAGCUGAAUCAUCAAGGAGCUGAUUGUAAUCUGAAUGUUAAUUCUUUUUGCUUAAGUGGGUCAUCGGUAAAUUGCUGAAGUUAGAGAAUAAAUUACAAGGAAUUUUAUGUACCAGUGUUAAAAGAAGGAUGAUUUUUGGAACUAAAAAAAAAAAAAAAAAAAGAAGGGGCUUUAGCAAUACA